GAUGGCGGCACAGCCCUCGGCAGCUGCGAUGGUGGCGGCGCCUGUGGUCAGAGACUGAGCUGCUUGCCAUGGAACUGUGCUGCUGUCAAGUCCCAUUGAAAACAGGACACAGGGCAGGAUAAAGCUUGAUCCAACAAUUAGUGGCUCUGAUUCCUCCACUUUUCCAAGAAGAUACUGUCCUGGAAUGAGCUGUGUGGCACACUGUGGUCGUGUGUGUCUGAGGAGCUUUUAUGGAGGCUGGAGACACUGAGGUCUCUCUCUGUUCAAUAAAGAGAGCUGCUGAGGUGCAUGGCUUGAGGAGAAAACUCCUGAGGUUAUUGUACAUCUGUUAUCAAAUGGACAUUGCAAACAGACAGCCAAAGCAUUGAGAAGGUCUUUGUACCAACAGGAACAUCUUGUUCUUCACCAGCACCAGGCACUCUGAAAUGAACAGAUUCCUUAGGCAAUGGAAAGCUAUUGCCUGGGUCAACAAACCCGCCUCUUGUCUCCUCUGAGGAAUGUUUGGGCAAGAAAACAUCUCCAAAAGGAUUUGCUUUCUUCGACCUGUCCUCUCUCAUCUCUUCUUAAGUACUCUGCUUCUGGUUAAGAAGGACUGGACGAUGUGGAACUAUCUGGACGGGUCAGGCCGACUCAUCCUGCCCUCAAAGCCCUCGUGUGCUACUUAAACCCACACCACAGUGGGGCGAGACACUGUGUGGGAGUGUGAGACAGUUCCUAAUGUUCCUGUUGAUCAAAUGGCCCACUGAGUCUCCUGAUCUGCUGUGGUGAUAAGUCAUAACAAGGACUCUCUCUUAAUCCUCAUUAUCCUCUGCUGGCGCUUCCUGCCCACAUACACUAGAUAUUUCCUAUCAACAGGGAGUAACCUCUGUGGAAGAUAGGAUCAGAUUCCCAGGAACCAGGCUGUAGUAAGAGUGAAGAAAGAAUGAGGAAACAGUCCUAAUUUGAGGCUAAUCUUAUAAAUACAGGGCUGGAUACAGACAAUAGGAAGAGAUAUGUCAGGAGAGCUUUAGCAUUUAUUUAGGAAAGGAACAUCUUUUUCCAGGAGUAGCCUUAAUUGUAACUUAUGAUGUGAUGAAGUUGCUGUUUGAUCUCAGCUUCGGCAGAGGGAAAGAGACAGAUUCUGCUUUGUGUCACCAGAGGAGGAGUAGCCUGAGAAAAAUACAGGGAAAAGCGUUUUUAAAAGUACUUUUUUGUCACUUGUGUACUGAUUCAAGCUGCAUGGAUGGAAUGUUUAAUUUUCUCAGUUUUUAUUCAAAUAAAACACUAAAUAAGAA
Long non-coding RNA from Corapipo altera (White-ruffed manakin), 1274 nucleotides. RefSeq lists it as uncharacterized. The transcript is spliced from 2 exons. Lineage: Eukaryota; Metazoa; Chordata; Aves; Passeriformes; Pipridae. The record is from RefSeq and is a predicted model, not a curated record.